GACGAACGCUGGCGGCGUGCUUAACACAUGCAAGUCGAACGGUGAAGCGCCUUCCUUUUUGGUGGGUGUGGAUGAGUGGCGAACGGGUGAGUAACACGUGAGUAACCUGCCCCCUUCUUCUGGAUAACCGCAUGAAAGUGUGGCUAAUACGGGAUAUUCUGGGUCUGUCGCAUGAUGGGUCUGGGAAAGAUAUUGUUUCGGUGGGGGAUGGGCUCGCGGCCUAUCAGCUUGUUGGUGGGGUGAUGGCCUACCAAGGCGGUGACGGGUAGCCGGCCUGAGAGGGUGAAGGGUCAAAGGGGGAUGAGGCAACGGCCAGGAUUCUAAGGGGGGGAGGCGGUGGGAAAAAUGGAGAAUGGGCGCAAGCCUGAUGCAGCGACGCCGCGUGAGGGAUGGAGGCCUUCGGGUUGUGAACCUCUUUCGCCAGUGAAGCAGGCCUGCCUCGUGUGUGGGUGGGUUGACGGUAGCUGGAUAAGAAGCGCCGGCUAACUACGUG
RNAcentral lists this ribosomal RNA (493 nucleotides) under uncultured bacterium. RNAcentral describes it as "partial 16S ribosomal RNA". It matches the Rfam family "Bacterial small subunit ribosomal RNA", at positions 28 to 507 of the family's 1533-position model. The record is from RNAcentral.